UACGUAGGGUGCAAGCGUUAAUCGGAAUUACUGGGCGUAAAGCGUGCGCAGGCGGUGAUGUAAGUCAGAUGUGAAAUCCCCGGGCUCAACCUGGGAACUGCAUUUGUGACUGCAUCGCUGGAGUGCGGCAGAGGGGGAUGGAAUUCCGCGUGUAGCAGUGAAAUGCGUAGAGAUCGGGAGGAACACCAGAGGCGAAGGCGGCGACCUGGACAAGUACUGACACUCAACUACGAAAGCGUGGGGAGCAAACAGG
This 253-nucleotide ribosomal RNA is filed under the name uncultured bacterium. RNAcentral's name for it is "partial 16S ribosomal RNA". It matches the Rfam family "Bacterial small subunit ribosomal RNA", at positions 524 to 776 of the family's 1533-position model. The record is from RNAcentral.